GUGUCAGCAGCCGCGGUAAUACGUAGGGUGCAAGCGUUAAUCGGAAUUACUGGGCGUAAAGCGUGCGCAGGCGGUUAUGCAAGACAGAGGUGAAAUCCCCGGGCUCAACCUGGGAACUGCCUUUGUGACUGCAUGGCUAGAGUACGGUAGAGGGGGAUGGAAUUCCGCGUGUAGCAGUGAAAUGCGUAGAUAUGCGGAGGAACACCGAUGGCGAAGGCAAUCCCCUGGACCUGUACUGACGCUCAUGCACGAAAGCGUGGGGAGCAAACAGGAUUAGAUACCCUGGUAGUCCACGCCCUAAACGAUGUCAACUGGUUGUUGGGAGGGUUUCUUCUCAGUAACGUAGCUAACGCGUGAAGUUGACCGCCUGGGGAGUACGGCCGCAAGGUUGAA
Molecule: ribosomal RNA, 393 nt
Filed under: uncultured bacterium
Lineage: Bacteria
Description: bacterial SSU rRNA
Rfam family: Bacterial small subunit ribosomal RNA
Source: RNAcentral